CAGGAGGCAUUUGCUCUCAGAUCCAGGGCUUGGAUCCAGGGCUUGGGGCACAAUUUAUGGGAUGACAGGCAGGGCGGUCUGAAGCAUGGAGAUGGAUGAUUGGAGUGAGUUACUUGGGAGAUUGAAGAAACAAGAAAAACAUUUAUUUUAAAGCUGAGCGUCACAGGUCGGGCUCCCUGCUUGGAAACUGAAUGAGGCCAGGUGUCCCUCUAUUUCUUGUUUGCUUGCAUUGAAGGAAACCGGUUGCCAUGCUAUGAGCUGCCCGAUGGAAAGGCCCACAUGGAAGGAACUGAAGUCUUCUGGCUCAAAGUCACUGAGGAACUGAGGCCCUCAGUGCAAAGGCCCUCAAGGUAUUGAGUUCUGCCAACAGUCAUACGAGUAAGACUGGAAGUGGAUCUUCCCGCAGUCAGGCCAUCAGGUGAGACCGCAUUCCUGGCUGACACUCUGACUGCAGCCAUGAGACACGUGGAGCCAGAGGCACCUGGCCAAACUGCAGCUGGAUUCCUGACCCACAGA
This is a non-coding RNA of Equus caballus (horse), 516 nucleotides long. The record is from RefSeq and is a predicted model, not a curated record. Lineage: Eukaryota; Metazoa; Chordata; Mammalia; Perissodactyla; Equidae.